Molecule: long non-coding RNA, 895 nt
Organism: Rhinichthys klamathensis goyatoka
Lineage: Eukaryota; Metazoa; Chordata; Actinopteri; Cypriniformes; Leuciscidae
Exons: 3
Source: RefSeq, a predicted model, not a curated record
UAUACACUGUAAAUGAUUUCUGUUGUUUUCACAGGAUUAUACUGUUUUUCUCAACAGUUUCUUACUGUAUAACCUAUGUACAGUAAGUUACAGUAGAUUUAGAUGUUGCACAGUAUUAUGUUGUAUUUUCAACAGUUAUAUACUGUGCACACAGUUGACAGUAUGUUACUGUUGAUUUUCAAUGCAUUCUGGGAAAUUAUCAGUUACUGUAAAUCUAAAUACAGCAGUGCAAAUUGACCGCGAAAAAAACCACACACAAUUCCGCAGGAAAAAUUGGUAUAGCAACGUUAUUUUUAGGCUACAUAAAACAUUUUCAGGAUGGGGUGACCAUGUCAGUAUUAAUUUCUGUCAGUGGGGGGUGCAUGAGAGCGCAUUUGAGUUUGAACGAGUUUUUCUGUGACUGUCAUGUCAGUGCAUCGAUCGUGUCUGUUUCUGCCGACCUGUGGAACUUCGUCAUCUGGUUUCUUGUCAGGAUAAAUCCUGAAAAUUCAAAAUGCACAUCACAGUUCCAGGUGAGCAGAAAGAGUGGGAAGGUUGUUCGGAGGAAGAACAUGUCUUUGAAUCCACACAUCUUUCAUCAGGGACUUUGCAGAAUAUGACUGGCAAAAUCAUUAAGGAUUAUCAGAAGUGCUGUCGCUGUUCUUCUUCUUUUUCCUCACCUGGCCUUCAUCCUCACCUGUUCUGCUUUCAAGUUUCUAUUUGACCUCUUCAGGAUAAUUUUUGCAUGAAUUGAAAUACAUGAAUUGUUCACUGAUUUGAAUUAUUAAUGAUUAAUUGUUAAUUAGUCUUUUUUUUAAACAGAUUUUUAUUGUUGUAUUAUAUUACAUUAUUAUUACGGUACUAAUGUAUUGUUUGAAAAUACACAAUAAACCUGGUUGUGCAGUUAAAACUUCAA